AAUAUACUCCCUCCGUUCGGAAAUACUUGUCAUCAAAAUGGAUAAAAGGGGAUGUACCAAACGUAUUUUAGUUCUAGAUACCUAUCCUUUUAUCCAUUUUGAUGACAAGUAUUUUCGGACGGAGAAAGUACACA
This is a non-coding RNA of Triticum urartu, 134 nucleotides long. NCBI's taxonomy places the organism in Eukaryota, Viridiplantae, Streptophyta, Magnoliopsida, Poales, Poaceae. The record is from Rfam.